UUCAGGUGUUUUCAUUUGGUGAUCAGGACGGAGCACAGAGGACGCAUCAUGGAGUUUGGGCUGAGCUGGGUUUUUCUUGUUGCUAUUUUAAAAGGUGUCCAGUCUGAGGUGCAGCUGGUGGAGUCUGGGGGAGGCUUGGUACAGCCUGGGGGGUCCCUGAGACUCUCCUGUGUAGCCUCUGGAUUCAGCUUCAGUGACCACUACAUGGACUGGGUCCGCCAGGCUCCAGGGAAGGGGCUGGAGUGGGUCUCAAGUAUUAGCAGUGGUAGUGGUAGUACCACAUUGUACCCAGACUCUGUCAAGGGCCGAUUCACCAUCUCCAGAGACAAUGCCAAGAACACAGUGUAUCUGCAAAUGAACAGCCUGAGAGCCGAGGACACGGCUGUCUAUUACUGUGCGAGACACACAGUGAGGGGAGGUCAGUGUGAGCCCAGACACAAACCUCCCUGCAGAAACGUUCAGGGGAAAUCAGCUGCAGGGGCUGCUCAGGACCCACUGAUCAGAGUCAACCCCAAAGGCAGGUGCUAUAG
This is an RNA transcript of Macaca mulatta (Rhesus monkey), 530 nucleotides long. It is a transcript of the gene named immunoglobulin heavy variable 3-23-like, with no coding region annotated. The record is from RefSeq and is a predicted model, not a curated record. NCBI's taxonomy places the organism in Eukaryota, Metazoa, Chordata, Mammalia, Primates, Cercopithecidae.